CCUACGGGAGGCAGCAGUGAGGAAUAUUGGUCAAUGGACGAGAGUCUGAUGGCGCAACGCCGCGUGCAGGAUGAAGGCCUUCGGGUUGUAAACUGCUUUUAUAAGCGAGAAAUAUGAUGGUAACUUAUGAAUAAGGAUCGGCUAACUACGUGCCAGCAGCCGCGGUCAUACGUAGGAUCCGAGCAUUAUCCGGAGUGACUGGGUGUAAAGAGUUGCGUAGGUGGCAUAAUAAGUAGCUAGUGAAAUCUGGUGGCUCAACCAUUCAGACUAUUAGCUAAACUGUUAAGCUCGAGACCGUUAGGGGUAACUGGAAUUUCUAGUGUAGGAGUGAAAUCCGUAGAUAUUAGAAGGAACACCAAUAGCGUAGGCAGGUUGCUGGGACGGUUCUGACACUAAGGCACGAAAGCGUAGGGAGCAAACGGGAUUAGAUACCCUUGUAGUC
Molecule: ribosomal RNA, 442 nt
Filed under: uncultured bacterium
Lineage: Bacteria
Description: partial 16S ribosomal RNA
Rfam family: Bacterial small subunit ribosomal RNA
Source: RNAcentral